RNAcentral lists this ribosomal RNA (433 nucleotides) under uncultured bacterium. RNAcentral describes it as "partial 16S ribosomal RNA". It matches the Rfam family "Bacterial small subunit ribosomal RNA", at positions 29 to 507 of the family's 1533-position model. The record is from RNAcentral.
AACGAACGCUGGCGGCAUGCCUAACACAUGCAAGUCGAACGAGACCUUCGGGUCUAGUGGCGCACGGGUGCGUAACGCGUGGGAACCUGCCCUUAGGUUCGGAAUAACUCCCCGAAAGGGGUGCUAAUACCGGAUAAUGUCUUCGGACCAAAGAUUUAUCGCCUUUGGAUGGGCCCGCGUUGGAUUAGCUAGUUGGUAGGGUAAAAGCCAACCAAGGCGACGAUCCAUAGCUGGUCUGAGAGGAUGAUCAGCCACACUGGGACUGAGACACGGCCCAGACUCCUACGGGAGGCAGCAGUGGGGAAUAUUGGACAAUGGGCGAAAGCCUGAUCCAGCAAUGCCGCGUGAGUGAUGAAGGCCUUAGGGUUGUAAAGCUCUUUUACCCGGGAUGAUAAUGACAGUACCGGGAGAAUAAGCUCCGGCUAACUCCGUG